Molecule: long non-coding RNA, 487 nt
Organism: Phascolarctos cinereus (koala)
Lineage: Eukaryota; Metazoa; Chordata; Mammalia; Diprotodontia; Phascolarctidae
Source: RefSeq, a predicted model, not a curated record
GGGCCUGAGUGGUGAUGGUAUGGAUGAAGACAAUGGGACAAAUGCAAGAUAGGAUGUGGAGAACUGACAGGGCUUGUUCUCCUUCAUCAACUGCCUGUUGGAUAUUUCUUGGAUGUUCCACAAGUAUCUCAAACUCAAAACCACAUUUGGGCAGAAAUAUUCCUUUGCUCAUGUUUUCCCCUAUUCAUGGAAUACCCUCUGCUUAUUGGAAUGCUCUUCAUCCUUGAAAGCCCAGCUCAAAUACCACUUCCUCCAGGAAGCCUCCAUGACUACCCCAGGCCAUAUUGACCUGUUCCCAGAGGAAUCUCAGGGAUGCCUGACAGUUUGAAGUAUGAGAUUGUCUCUGGUCUCGGAGCUGACCACGCUGUUCCAUGGCAUGGGAGGAAGCAGGCAUUCCUCUCAUUGCCCAUGGAGCGCAUACCUUACCUGGACCCAGUGAUGAGCUCAACAAGGAUUUCAAAAUGGCAAUGAAGUAUAAUCAGCAGUC